RNAcentral lists this ribosomal RNA (677 nucleotides) under Enterococcus sp. HMSC05C03. Its description in RNAcentral is "bacterial LSU rRNA". It matches the Rfam family "Bacterial large subunit ribosomal RNA", at positions 1773 to 2449 of the family's 2925-position model. Lineage: Bacteria; Bacillati; Bacillota; Bacilli; Lactobacillales; Enterococcaceae. The record is from RNAcentral.
UCAGCCGCAGUGAAUAGGCCCAAGCGACUGUUUAUCAAAAACACAGGUCUCUGCAAAAUCGAAAGAUGACGUAUAGGGGCUGACGCCUGCCCGGUGCUGGAAGGUUAAGAGGAGUGCUUAGCGUAAGCGAAGGUACGAAUUGAAGCCCCAGUAAACGGCGGCCGUAACUAUAACGGUCCUAAGGUAGCGAAAUUCCUUGUCGGGUAAGUUCCGACCCGCACGAAAGGCGUAACGAUUUGGGCACUGUCUCAACGAGAGACUCGGUGAAAUUUUAGUACCUGUGAAGAUGCAGGUUACCCGCGACAGGACGGAAAGACCCCAUGGAGCUUUACUGCAGUUUGAUAUUGAGUGUUUGUACCACAUGUACAGGAUAGGUAGGAGCCGUAGAAGUCGGGACGCUAGUUUCGACAGAGGCGCUGGUGGGAUACUACCCUUGUGUUAUGACCACUCUAACCCGCACCACUAAUCGUGGUGGGAGACAGUGUCAGAUGGGCAGUUUGACUGGGGCGGUCGCCUCCUAAAGAGUAACGGAGGCGCCCAAAGGUUCCCUCAGAAUGGUUGGAAAUCAUUCGCAGAGUGUAAAGGCACAAGGGAGCUUGACUGCGAGACCUACAAGUCGAGCAGGGACGAAAGUCGGGCUUAGUGAUCCGGUGGUUCCGCAUGGAAGGGCCAUCGCU